This 253-nucleotide ribosomal RNA is filed under the name uncultured bacterium. RNAcentral's name for it is "partial 16S ribosomal RNA". It matches the Rfam family "Bacterial small subunit ribosomal RNA", at positions 524 to 776 of the family's 1533-position model. The record is from RNAcentral.
UACGUAGGGUGCAAGCGUUGUCCGGAAUUAUUGGGCGUAAAGAGCUCGUAGGCGGUUCGUCGCGUCGGCUGUGAAAACCCGGGGCUCAACCCCGGGCCUGCAUUCGAUACGGGCAGACUAGAGUUCGGUAGGGGAGUCUGGAAUUCCUGGUGUAGCGGUGAAAUGCGCAGAUAUCAGGAGGAACACCGGUGGCGAAGGCGGGACUCUGGGCCGAUACUGACGCUGAGGAGCGAAAGCGUGGGGAGCAAACAGG